UAGCCUAGUGGCUAAGGCUAUGGAUUGCCAAUCCGGAGACGGUGGGUUCGAUUCUCGU
Molecule: non-coding RNA, 58 nt
Organism: Aedes albopictus (Asian tiger mosquito)
Lineage: Eukaryota; Metazoa; Arthropoda; Insecta; Diptera; Culicidae
Source: Rfam